This is a long non-coding RNA of Lynx canadensis (Canada lynx), 102 nucleotides long. RefSeq lists it as uncharacterized. The transcript has 3 exons. The record is from RefSeq and is a predicted model, not a curated record. Lineage: Eukaryota; Metazoa; Chordata; Mammalia; Carnivora; Felidae.
AGGACUCUUGCCAUCCUCUAGAGAAAUCCUGGAAUAGGCAGCUCUUAGACAUUAAUACCCUGCACAGAUCGAGAAUCUCAUGAGCCCACGACUGAAAUCCAG